UGUCGGCCCUCCAAAGGCCGGCGUACCGAAGAGGCUUGUCUUUCUUGCCGGGCGUGCGGAAAGGGAUCAAUCCCCUUCCAAGCGAUGGCUAUGCAGGUCGGAAUCACAUGUCCGUCAGGACAUGCGCGUCCGCGCCUUCAUUAGCCU
Methylosinus sp. 3S-1 is the source of this 147-nucleotide regulatory RNA element. It matches the Rfam family "speF leader". Rfam says of the family: This family is a putative regulatory RNA structure that is found upstream of the speF gene encoding ornithine decarboxylase in Agrobacterium tumefaciens and other alpha-proteobacteria. NCBI's taxonomy places the organism in Bacteria, Pseudomonadati, Pseudomonadota, Alphaproteobacteria, Hyphomicrobiales, Methylocystaceae. The record is from Rfam.